CUCCCACUUCAGCCUCAAGCCAGCCCUGCUCACACCAAUCGUCACCUCUGGCCCACCACCAGAAACAGAGCCAAGAGAAUUUCAGAGGCUUCUUCACCAGCAUCCACAAUUGUGGGAAGUCUAAUUCCUAGUAAAAUCUCUUCUUUUCCAUCACACAUAAUGGUUCUGCUUCUCUGAUUGAACCUUAACUGGUACAGUUCCCCUACAAUACAUCAUGAAUGCAAGUGUGGCUAAUUUGUGCUUAUUAAUAGUGACGAGCAAUUGGGUGGCAUAAAUCAUUAAAAUUACAGGUGAUUAAAACGUGUUAUUUAGUAAUUUCAACCACUUCUUCUAACAAAUAUAAAAAUUAGGUGACUUCUAUUUCACUGCCUUUUAUGAAUUGAAUGAUGAAUACAGUUAAUGGUUCUCCUAUGUAAAUCAUUGCUUUUUCCAUAGGGGACAAUUUAAUACCGAGGGAACUUCCAACACUGGUAACAUCUGUCUUCUUUGUGUCAGAGAGUGGAGAUAUGUGUGGAGACUGUUUACAAAUGUGAGAAAAGGAGGAGGCUAAAUAUUUUUAGUGACACUUUUGGUGAUAGUAUGUGUACACAUAUAUCAUUUUCAAAAAUCCAAAGAGCACUUAUUCCUGCAAAUGUGAAUUAAUCCUUUUCUUACUUUGAGCAUGACCAUAUAACUUGCUUUGGUCCAUAGGACAUUAGCAAGAGAGUGCAAACCAAGACUUCAUAAGUACUUGUGCAUUGGAGCUUGGCUAUCUAGAAAGUUCCCUUUCGGGAGCCAGUUACUAUGUUGAAAAGAUGCUUGGGCUGAAUCAUGAGAGGCAACAUGGAGAGAGGCAUGGGGAAUUAGGAGACCCACCAGCUGAACCCUGCCAGAAUUUCUGAGAAACAGAAUUCUGAGAAAUAAUAAAUUGUUGUUUGGGGGUGGUUUGUUAUAUGGCAAUGGAAGACUGAAACAAGCUAUAACAGCCUUCACAACAAACUUUCUUCUUUCUUUAAACAAACAAACUAUGCAUUAACUUAGUUCUGAUUAUUCCUUUUUAAACUCCUUCCCUAGUUUUCCUCUUAUUGUCUCAACUUCGUCUUUUCUCAUGGAGGUGUGGAUGGCUGGUGCUAUAAGCAUUGUGAGUUGGGAGAUACUGGCAAGCCCUGCUUACCAAGAAUCUUUUCCUUAUCAGCCUGUCCUGGUACUUGAAACUUCACCAUUAUAUAAAUAAGGAAAAUUUUCUCCUAAACUAAAGAAUUUUCAUCUCCAAGAAUAAAUAUGCAACUAUCCCUGGACACAUACACUAUUCUUUGUCAUUCACCAUUGAGCCAGGAUUAAUUUGUAAGUUUGCUUUCCUGGGAAACAGCUAACUGAGAAGGAACAGAAAGACUUGCCCACACAUUGACUUCUGAUUGGUAGGCUCUUCCCCUUUUUCUCUAUCCAAAUAACUCCUGCUCUUUCUUCAGCUCUUUUUUUUUUUGGGAGACGGAGUCUCGCUCUGUCACCCAGGCUGGAGUGCAGUGGCAGUGGCGCGAUCUCAGCUCACUGCAACCUCCACCGCCCAGGUUCAAGUGAUUCUCCUGCCUCAGCCUCCCGAGUAGGGUUACCGCAGGCAUGAACCACCAUACCUGCCUAAUUUUUAUAUUUUUAGUAGAGACGGGGUUUUGCCAUGUUGCCCAGGCUGGUUUUGAACUCAUGGCCUCAAGUGAUCCAUCUGCCUUGGCCUCCCAACGUGUUGGCAUGAGCCACCAUGCCUGGCCUGUUCCUUCAGCUUUUAACUCCCUGAACCCUGUGAUUAGGUUAAUUUUCCCAUUAUAGGCUCUGAUAGUACCAAAAAACUCCUCUUUGAGCACUUAUCGCAGUGGCAAUUCAACCUUUUUUAUGUGUAAUUAUAUUUAUAUCUCCUAGAACUGUAAGCUCCAAAGGGUCAGAGACCUUGUCUGUUUUGACCACUGUAGUAUUCCCAAUUCUUCCCAUAUACGCUGACACACAGAAUGUACUCAAUAUUUGUUAAAUGAAUGAGUGAAUGAAUGAACUGUGAUUCUGAACAAUUAAAUUCUCUCUUUCUUUCUUUAGAAAUUCUUGUGCCUGGACUUGGUUUUUUAUUACUAUUGGGGGCAAGAAAGCAGUCACUUGGCAUUCUAAAAGCUCUAUGAGAUGUUUCAAGAGGAGGAAAUUAAAGCUAAGUGUGCUAUGCUUGAAAUGAAGACUUAUUAGACCAAUGUAGGCUCCCUUACAAUGCCUGACCCAUUUCAGUUGUAGCCCAUGAACAAAAUCAUUUCCAGAAGUGAGAAAACUAAUAAGAGCUAACAUGCCUUGUACUAGCAGGCAUUGUAAAAACAUCACUGGAGCGCCGUCAAUAUUAUUCCUGUUUUUCCACACCAUAAUAAUUUAUAGCUUCCCUUUCUUUUAUAAUUAAAUAAUUUCAGACGUGUUAAGGAAGAACCAUAAUGGUUUAAUACACUUUGCAGUUCUCUGAUUUAUCUUCACUGAAGCCUGUAAUAAUUAAACAUAAAAAUUAUAUACAGUGGGUUUAUUAAUAUAAGAAAAAAGGAAGUGAUGGAGCUUUAGAUUUUCUUUUAAUAUUGCUAUUCCACCUUUGAAUGGGUUGAGCAAGAAUAGCAAUCAUGUUUUAACCAAUGUUUAUCUUAUGAAUAGUAUUUUUGUCAUUUUCUGAGGGGUGUGUGUCAAAAGCUGCCACUUUUAUUUCCCUAGGGAUAAUUGCUGCUUGUUCUUCAAUUUAGAAUAUCUGGGGUAGUAAUUGAUCUGGAGAAGCACUUCUUAAAGUGCAAUGCUAAUUGCAGGAAAGAGAAAAAUGGGUUCUGUGGUCACACAGGUUUGGGAAAUGCUGCCUUAAAUAAAAUUAAAUAGUGCUUUUUUUCUUUUGUCACAGGAUUGAUAAUAAUAUGCUCUGUAAAUCUCCAAAAGGAAGGUUAUAAUAUACAGCAUUUCCCAUUGUCAUCUGAUCAUUGAAUUUUAAAUUUAAUUAAACACUUUUUUGGUUUGGUAUGUUCUUUGACAUUUAAAUGUGUUCUCUCAGUUUAAAUUUUGGGAGACUUAACCCUCAAAAUGUUUGUGAGAUAUAAAUAAUCCUCUUCUUAUGCAUGUAGAGAGGUGUAUACAGGCAUAACUUGGAG
This 3119-nucleotide long non-coding RNA is filed under the name Homo sapiens (human). Its description in RNAcentral is "HSALNT0087302". Lineage: Eukaryota; Metazoa; Chordata; Mammalia; Primates; Hominidae. The record is from RNAcentral.